GCAUAUCAAUAAGCGGAGGAAAAGAAACCAACAGGGAUUGCCUUAGUAGCGGCGAGUGAAGCGGCAAAAGCUCAAAUUUGAAAUCUGGCUCUUUCAGAGUCCGAGUUGUAAUUUGAAGAAGGUAUCUUUGGGUCUGGCUCUUGUCUAUGUUUCUUGGAACAGAACGUCACAGAGGGUGAGAAUCCCGUGCGAUGAGAUGAUCCAGGCCUAUGUAAAGUUCCUUCGAAGAGUCGAGUUGUUUGGGAAUGCAGCUCUAAGUGGGUGGUAAAUUCCAUCUAAAGCUAAAUAUUGGCGAGAGACCGAUAGCGAACAAGUACAGUGAUGGAAAGAUGAAAAGAACUUUGAAAAGAGAGUGAAAAAGUACGUGAAAUUGUUGAAAGGGAAGGGCUUGAGAUCAGACUUGGUAUUUUGUAUGUUACUUCUUCGGGGGUGGCCUCUACAGUUUAUCGGGCCAGCAUCAGUUUGGGCGGUAGGAGAAUUGCGUUGGAAUGUGGCACGGCUUCGGUUGUGUGUUAUAGCCUUCGUCGAUACUGCCAGCCUAGACUGAGGACUGCGGUUUAUACCUAGGAUGUUGGCAUAAUGAUCUUAAGUCGCCCGUCUUGAAACACGACACGGACC
RNAcentral lists this ribosomal RNA (618 nucleotides) under Candida tropicalis. Its description in RNAcentral is "eukaryotic LSU rRNA". It matches the Rfam family "Eukaryotic large subunit ribosomal RNA", at positions 38 to 664 of the family's 3401-position model. Lineage: Eukaryota; Fungi; Ascomycota; Pichiomycetes; Serinales; Debaryomycetaceae. The record is from RNAcentral.